RNAcentral lists this ribosomal RNA (492 nucleotides) under uncultured bacterium. RNAcentral describes it as "partial 16S ribosomal RNA". It matches the Rfam family "Bacterial small subunit ribosomal RNA", at positions 29 to 507 of the family's 1533-position model. The record is from RNAcentral.
AGUGAACGCUGGCGGUAGGCCUAACACAUGCAAGUCGAACGGCAGCACAGUAAGAGCUUGCUCUUACGGGUGGCGAGUGGCGGACGGGUGAGGAAUACAUCGGAAUCUACUUUUUCGUGGGGGAUAACGUAGGGAAACUUACGCUAAUACCGCAUACGACCUACGGGUGAAAGCAGGGGAUCUUCGGACCUUGCGCGAUUGAAUGAGCCGAUGUCGGAUUAGCUAGUUGGCGGGGUAAAGGCCCACCAAGGCGACGAUCCGUAGCUGGUCUGAGAGGAUGAUCAGCCACACUGGAACUGAGACACGGUCCAGACUCCUACGGGAGGCAGCAGUGGGGAAUAUCGGACAAUGGGCGCAAGCCUGAUCCAGCCAUACCGCGUGGGUGAAGAAGGCCUCCGGGUUGUAAAGCCCUUUUGUUGGGAAAGAAAAGCAGCAGGUUAAUACCCCGCUGUUCUGACGGUACCCAAAGAAUAAGCACCGGCUAACUUCGUG